UGGGUUGUGGUUCAGUGGUAGAGCGCUCACCUAGCACGUGCGAGGCCCUGGGUUUGAUCCUCAGCAUCAUAU
This 72-nucleotide transfer RNA is filed under the name Ictidomys tridecemlineatus (thirteen-lined ground squirrel). RNAcentral describes it as "Spermophilus tridecemlineatus (thirteen-lined ground squirrel) tRNA". It matches the Rfam family "tRNA". From Rfam's summary of the family: Transfer RNA (tRNA) molecules are approximately 80 nucleotides in length. Their secondary structure includes four short double-helical elements and three loops (D, anti-codon, and T loops). Further hydrogen bonds mediate the characteristic L-shaped molecular structure. tRNAs have two regions of fundamental functional importance: the anti-codon, which is responsible for specific mRNA codon recognition, and the 3' end, to which the tRNAs corresponding amino acid is attached (by aminoacyl-tRNA synthetases). tRNAs cope with the degeneracy of the genetic code in two manners: having more than one tRNA (with a specific anti-codon) for a particular amino acid; and 'wobble' base-pairing, i.e. permitting non-standard base-pairing at the 3rd anti-codon position. The record is from Rfam by way of RNAcentral. Lineage: Eukaryota; Metazoa; Chordata; Mammalia; Rodentia; Sciuridae.